UUUGAAUUUUAUUUUCAAUAUUAAGAAAUUUAGAUAGGUUUUUGGACUUCAAAUUUUCAAACAAGAAGAUUGCUGCAGAAACUUUAAGAGGGGACCUCCGAAAAGAGAAGAAAAUGACAACGAAAGACAGUACAAAGUAACUUAAGAUGGAUAUUAAAUGACUGUAACAAUCUAUAAGAAUAUACACCGUAGAGAAACAAGCGCACCCUUAAGAAAUACAGUUGAGUAGCUUGUUUAGUUUUUAUGAUCUAAAGACAACACUAUUCUCAUGCAGGUUGAAUAAUUUUAAAGUAAUUACUACUCCCUCUUAUUUCAAUUUAAAUGACACACUUUCCUUAUUAGUCUAUUCCAAAAAAAAUGACACAUUUUUAUAUUUGGAAACAAUUUAACUUUAAACUUUUCAUUUACCCACUUUACCCUUAAUGAAAAGUUUUUAUAGCCACGAAAAUGUCAUGGUCCCACAAAACUUUUAUCCUUUAAUCUUUUAGGACCACAUAUUUCAAAAGUCUUCUUUUUUUUUUCCUUAAACUUUGUGCCAAGUCAAACUACAUCAUCCAAAUUGAAACGGAGGGAUAAAGAAUAGUUUUUGGCCAUUUUCACCCGAGCAAAGCAACUGAUAACGUCAUAACAUACCACCAUGAUCCAUUGCUCGAGUACUGGACUCUACACUUCCCUUACUAUGCCCGUCUUGCAAUUGCUUCACCUGAUGAAGCUUUUGGUGUUAGGAGAAAUAAUCACAACCUGAAAGCAAAGCUUCAGACGAUUACAUAUGGAAAAAUUUCUGCCAUACCUCCUCUUUCUGCUUGUAUUGGGAUGUUGAUUGCCUUGAUGUAUCCAACUCAAG
RNAcentral lists this long non-coding RNA (844 nucleotides) under Nicotiana tabacum (common tobacco). RNAcentral's name for it is "long non-coding RNA (NTAB_LNC018260)". The record is from RNAcentral. Lineage: Eukaryota; Viridiplantae; Streptophyta; Magnoliopsida; Solanales; Solanaceae.